UGAGGAAUAUUGCACAAUGGGCGCAAGCCUGAUGCAGCAACGCCGCGUGCGGGACGACGGCCUUCGGGUUGUAAACCGCUUUUCUGAGGGACGAGCGAGGACGGUACCUUAGGAAUAAGUCUCGGCUAACUACGUGCCAGCAGCCGCGGUAAAACGUAGGAGGCGAGCGUUAUCCGGAUUUACUGGGCGUAAAGCGCGCGCAGGUGGCCGUGUAAGUUGGACGUGAAAGCUCCUGGCUUAACUGGGAGAGGUCGUUCGAUACUGCGGGGCUUGAGGUUGGGAGAGGGGUGUGGAAUUCCCGGUGUAGUGGUGGAAUGCGUAGAUAUCGGGAGGAACACCAGUGGCGCAAGCGGCGUCCUGGCCCACACCUGACGCUGAGGUACGAAAGCGUGGGUAGCAAACAG
This 404-nucleotide ribosomal RNA is filed under the name uncultured bacterium. RNAcentral describes it as "bacterial SSU rRNA". It matches the Rfam family "Bacterial small subunit ribosomal RNA", at positions 355 to 775 of the family's 1533-position model. The record is from RNAcentral.